Molecule: transfer-messenger RNA, 223 nt
Filed under: Candidatus Karelsulcia muelleri
Lineage: Bacteria; Pseudomonadati; Bacteroidota; Flavobacteriia; Flavobacteriales
Description: Candidatus Sulcia muelleri partial transfer-messenger RNA
Rfam family: transfer-messenger RNA
About the family: Bacterial tmRNA, also known as 10Sa RNA or SsrA, is named for its dual tRNA and mRNA-like properties. Its role is to liberate the mRNA from a stalled ribosome.
Source: RNAcentral
UUUGAUCCUUUUUCUCUUUCUUACAGAAAAGAAAAAUUUAAUUUAAGUAAGAAUAGGAAAGAUUGAGGUUCUAAAUCUUUCUAAGAAGUUACAAGAACUAGAUUCUAAGUAAUAGGUUCUUAUCUCUAAACUUAGAAUUAAUUUUAAUUUGAUAAGAUAAAUAUGUAGAAAACUUAUAAUAUUACUUGUUUGGACACGGGUUCGAAUCCCGUCAGCUCCACCA